RNAcentral lists this ribosomal RNA (440 nucleotides) under Neriene radiata. RNAcentral's name for it is "partial 16S ribosomal RNA". It matches the Rfam family "Archaeal large subunit ribosomal RNA", at positions 1945 to 2689 of the family's 2987-position model. The record is from RNAcentral. Lineage: Eukaryota; Metazoa; Arthropoda; Arachnida; Araneae; Linyphiidae.
AGUAAUCUGCUCAUGGUUAAUAAAUAGCCGCAGGUAUACCCACUGUGCUAAGGUAGCAUAAUCAUUAGCCUUUUAAUUAAAGGCUAGAAUGAAAGAUUUUACAUUUUAAUUACUUUUUUUUAAAAAAUUUAUUAAAAUUAAACUAAGAAUAAGAAUGUUCUUAUAAAUAAAAUAGACGAUAAGACCCUAUUGAACUUUACUAAAGUUAAGCUGGGGAAGCUAAUUAAAAACAAUUUUAAUUAAUUUUUAAAUAAAAAUAGCCAAUUAAAUUGAUUUUAACAAGUUACCAUAGGGAUAACAGCAUAAUAUUUAUUUAAAGUUCUUAUUUAAAUAAAAGAUUGUGACCUCGAUGUUGAAUUAAUUUAACUCCAAAACGCAAUAGUAUUGAAAGUAGGUCUGUUCGACCUUUAAAUAAUUACAUGAUCUGAUUCCAAACCGGA